This is a long non-coding RNA of Felis catus (domestic cat), 639 nucleotides long. RefSeq lists it as uncharacterized. NCBI's taxonomy places the organism in Eukaryota, Metazoa, Chordata, Mammalia, Carnivora, Felidae. The record is from RefSeq and is a predicted model, not a curated record. The transcript is spliced from 2 exons.
GUUUGGGGAAAAGAGCGGUGGGCUGGGUGGGAAGAGGCUUCCUGUGCCUGAGACUUUAAAGUUGGCUCAGUCGUCCGAUUCUGGAAGGCAUUCACCCUCAGAGACCUGCAUGGACAUGUGGCACCGGACCACCUUUUGCAACGUCAACCAGAAGAAUAUUGACAGGAUAUAAUCCAUCUAUCUUUUCAUGUUUUAUUUGUAUUCAUGUUUCUGGUGUAUUUUCUUCUAUUCGAUUUUACAACAUUGGUGGUAGUUUGCAUAUCCACCACCACAGUCAGGAUAUUGAACCUUCAUUCACCGCAAGGAUCCCUCUCUUCGGCUUUUAUAACCACACUCACAUCCCUUUCCCACCUUCCAGUCCCUAAACCCUGGUAACCACUGGUCUGUCUUUUCUAAAAUGUUGUCAUUUCAAAAAUGUUAUAUAAAUACACAGUAUCUAACUUUGGGGACUGACUUUUUUACCCAGAAUAAUUCUUUGGAAAUUCAUCCAAGUUGUUUUGUGUAUCAAUACUCUGUUCCUUUUUAUUCUGAGUAGCUUUCUACGGUAUGGAUAUGCCGGUUUAACCAUUCACCCACUGAAAGACUUCUAGGCUGUUUCCAGUGUGGGGACAUUACACAUAAAGCUGAUACAAACAUUCA